RNAcentral lists this ribosomal RNA (429 nucleotides) under Bacteroidota bacterium. RNAcentral's name for it is "Bacteroidetes bacterium partial 16S ribosomal RNA". It matches the Rfam family "Bacterial small subunit ribosomal RNA", at positions 355 to 776 of the family's 1533-position model. Lineage: Bacteria; Pseudomonadati; Bacteroidota. The record is from RNAcentral.
UAGGGAAUCUUCGGCAAUGGGGGGAACCCUGACCGAGCAACGCCGCGUGAGUGAAGAAGGUUUUCGGAUCGUAAAGCUCUGUUGUUAGAGAAGAACAGCGCAUAGAGUAACUGUUAUGCGUGUGACGGUAUCUAACCAGAAAGCCACGGCUAACUACGUGCCAGCAGCCGCGGUAAUACGUAGGUGGCAAGCGUUGUCCGGAUUUAUUGGGCGUAAAGCGAGCGCAGGCGGUCAAUUAAGUCUGAUGUGAAAGCCCCCGGCUCAACCGGGGAGGGUCAUUGGAAACUGGUUGACUUGAGUGCAGAAGAGGAGAGUGGAAUUCCAUGUGUAGCGGUGAAAUGCGUAGAUAUAUGGAGGAACACCAGUGGCGAAGGCGACUCUCUGGUCUGUAACUGACGCGGAGGCUCGAAAGCGUGGGUAGCAAACAGG